AUUGAACGCUGGCGGCAGGCCUAACACAUGCAAGUCGAACGGUAACAGGAAGCAGCUUGCUGCUUUGCUGACGAGUGGCGGACGGGUGAGUAAUGUCUGGGAAACUGCCCGAUGGAGGGGGAUAACUACUGGAAACGGUAGCUAAUACCGCAUAACGUCGCAAGACCAAAGAGGGGGACCUUAGGGCCUCUUGCCAUCGGAUGUGCCCAGAUGGGAUUAGCUAGUAGGUGGGGUAACGGCUCACCUAGGCGACGAUCCCUAGCUGGUCUGAGAGGAUGACCAGCCACACUGGAACUGAGACACGGUCCAGACUCCUACGGGAGGCAGCAGUGGGGAAUAUUGCACAAUGGGCGCAAGCCUGAUGCAGCCAUGCCGCGUGUAUGAAGAAGGCCUUCGGGCUGUAAAGUACUUUCAGCGGGGAGGAAGGGAGUAAAGUUAAUACCUUUGCUCAUUGACGUUACCCGCAGAAGAAGCACCGGCUAACUCCGUG
RNAcentral lists this ribosomal RNA (490 nucleotides) under uncultured bacterium. RNAcentral describes it as "partial 16S ribosomal RNA". It matches the Rfam family "Bacterial small subunit ribosomal RNA", at positions 30 to 507 of the family's 1533-position model. The record is from RNAcentral.